AUAAGUGUAGUAUAAAUUAUUAUGUUAGAUUUAGAAUCUAAAGAUUUUUGCUUAUU
RNAcentral lists this transfer RNA (56 nucleotides) under Strongyloides sp. EN-2020c. Its description in RNAcentral is "tRNA-Leu". The record is from RNAcentral. Lineage: Eukaryota; Metazoa; Nematoda; Chromadorea; Rhabditida; Strongyloididae.